This 253-nucleotide ribosomal RNA is filed under the name uncultured bacterium. RNAcentral describes it as "partial 16S ribosomal RNA". It matches the Rfam family "Bacterial small subunit ribosomal RNA", at positions 524 to 776 of the family's 1533-position model. The record is from RNAcentral.
UACGAGUGCCUCAAGCGUUAUCCGGAAUCAUUGGGCGUAAAGGGUGUGUAGGUGGUCAUGUUAGUCUCUCGUUAAAUUCUUCGGCUUAACCGGGGGCAUGCGAGGGAAACGGCAUGACUUGAGGAUGCAAGAGGUCUGCGGAACUCAUGGUGUAGCGGUGAAAUGCGUUGAUAUCAUGGGGAACACCGGUGGCGAAGGCGGGUCUCUGGGCCGAUACUGACGCUGAGGAGCGAAAGCGUGGGGAGCGAACAGG